Molecule: long non-coding RNA, 4038 nt
Filed under: Homo sapiens (human)
Lineage: Eukaryota; Metazoa; Chordata; Mammalia; Primates; Hominidae
Description: HSALNT0364672
Source: RNAcentral
GAGUUGAGCCAGAAAUAAAGAUCAAGUCUUCUGGCCCAUGCACUAGGCCCCAUGCUGCCUCACAGCUUUCAAAACCUUCAUUUUCUUGGGAAAUGCUAAAAAGCUUUCCCCUACCAUACAUACUAGAUUCAGACACACUGCCAUCUACUGACCCACCAAAGGAUGUGCCAGCACAAGACAUCCUGACCUUCAAGGGAGGGAGGAACACCUUGAGAGGAGUUGAGAUCCUGCUUUCUCUUCAGAAUGCCAUCUCUAGGAUGCCAAUGGGCUGUGUCUACAGUACUAUGUAGGAAAGUGCUGCAAGAGGUCCGCGUCACCUUUAGGAGCUGUAACACUCACCGCGAAGGUCUGCAGCUUCACUCCUGAAGCCAGCGAGACCACGAACGCACCGGGAGGGAUGAACAACUCCGGACGGGAGGAACGAACAACUCCAGACGCGCCAUCUUAAGAGCUGUAACGCUCACUGCGAAGGUCUGCAGCUUCACUCCUGAAGCCAGCAAGACCACGAACCCACCAGAAGGAAGAAACUCUGAACACAUCUGAACAUCAGAAGGAACAAACUCCAGACACGCCACCUUUAAGAACUGUAACACUCACCGCGAGGGUCCGCAGCUUCGUUCUUGAAAUCAGUGAGAUGAAGAACCCACCAAUUCCAGACACAGUAACACCAGUUAUCACUGAUUGCAGUUCAUCAUAACAGAUAUAAUAAUAAUUUAAAAGUUUGAAAUAUUAUGAAAAUUACCAAAAUGUAACACAGACACAUGAAGCAUUGGAAAAAUGGCACCAAUAGUGUUGUUUGAUGUAGCAUUACCAUAAAUCUUAGAUUUGUAAAUAACAAAGUAUUUGUGAAGCACAGUAAAGCAAAGCACAAUAAAAAUGACGUGUGCUUGUAUUUUAAAAGAACAGAUUGAAUUGGGAAGGGUAGUUGAGGAACUGGAAGCAGAGAGAACAGGUACAAGAUUCACGUAGUAGUCCAAGAAAAUUAAAGCAAGUAGAAAAACUAACAGAAGUUCAGGAUAAAAGAUUUUGAGGCCUUAACUACACAUUUCCAGAAGGAAUGGAAAAAGGUCAGAAAUGAGAAUGUGGAAAUAUCCUCAGCUGAUUUGACUGUAAGUAGAAAGUGUUGGCAUAAAAAAAAUGGACGAAGCCAAAAAACUCAUGGAAUGAUGAAUAAUUAAAUAAAUUGAGGUCUCCUUAUCAAAAACAAAAAUGAAGACAUGUAGAUAGAAAUUUAUAUGUCUUUACUCUGUAAAGCUGGGAGAAUACCCAGAAGGUAUUUAGGAAGUAUGUGAUAAAAAUUUAAGAUUGGAGUUAAUGAACCAGAGAUAGGCAUGAGACACAUAAUAGGUAAUAAUACAGGUUAGCUGGUAAGAUCUUUGGAGCACAGCAAGCUUGGAUUUGAGUUAGUAAUAAUAAUUAUGCACUGCACAUUUUAGCCUUUAUAAUUUUUCACUGGUUCUUCCACUUAAUAGGCAUCUUUUAACAUCUAUUAAGUGUAGGAAAAUACUAAGAGCUGGAGAUACAGCAGUAAUAAAUAAAGUUUAUUUAAGUAAGUGUAAAGUUAAUAAAACACAGUCCCUAAUCUCAUUACUCUUACACUGAGAGAUUUUCACAUUCAAAAUUUACUGAGCACCUAUUGGGUACAGAGGACUUGGAUGGGCAAAUGAAUACAAUAUGUCUCUUGCUGUGUUGUUGGAACAAGUGGAAUGCUGGGGACAUCCAAAGAAAGGAGACCACAUGGAGGAGGUGAUAUUGGAUCUUGAGGGAUGAUUAAGAGUCAUCAAACAAACGACAUUUAUAUAUAUAUUAUAAUAUCAUCUCCUGUAAUCUCGCUCACACCCUGUGAGGACCAAGUAAAUAUAUUAAAGAUGUAUUUCUUAUAGAAUAUUCUGAGCAAGAUGAGAGAAAGGAUAGUAUGAUAGCCCUGUCAGUCCUUGUAUUCCUCUCCCUAAUUUCACUGUUUUGUUGAAAGUGUUUGUUUGGUUUUUUUAAUAGUUUUUAUUUUGUAUUUAGCUCUAGACAAAAGAACAGUACUAUUCCUUGAAAACAUUUAUUCUUUAGGGAUAUGAAGUGGUAUGUUUGCCCAACAAAAUACACAAUUUCUAAAAUAUUAUGACUAAUUCAAGCAAAUGUAUUCUCUAAAGAAAAAUUUCCACUUCACUUUGUCUACAUAGAGGUAGAUUUAAUAAACAAGUUAUAACAAAAGUCUUCUGUCAGUAUUUUUCCUCAGCACUAUUAUAAAGGGUGGUAAAAAUUCCUUUCUUUGACAAAAGAGACUUUUUCCUCUUUUCCCCCAAGACACUAAUGAAUAUAAAUGUGCAAGUAAAAUAUUUUCACUUAGAUUCACAGUGUCUGACACUAAUAUACUCUAGAGCAUUUAAAUUUUUCCUCAACUUAAAACUAACUGCCAAUUUUUAAAAUGUUAAUUAUUAUUCCCCAAAUUAAGUAAGAAUAAUAAUAUAUUUUGCAUAGCAAGCAUUGUGCCUUCUAAGAAAAGAGGCAUUUUAUUUUCUGUUUAACUAUCUUCUUUCUGUCGAUCAGUGUCAGUAGCUUGUCAAAAACAAGUCAAGGACAACCUGCUUUGAUAUCUAUGCAAAUAGGAUUCAAUUAUCCCCAAUGAGUUUGCAAAACUUGCAGAAGUCAUUAAUUUGAAAAACAUGAGGAUUAAUGCAGGGGAUUUGGAACCUAUGUCAAAGACGUUUUAAAAUUACUACCAUAUAAACUUUGAUUCUUAAACGCAGAAAAUGCCUAAUGCAGCUAAUUUUAACUACUAUGAACUAUAACUUACAUAAUAAAAACACAACUGGCUAACAUUAUUAUCCUCUUUCUUGCAUAAUUUGUCUAAAAAUUAACAUCUCAUGCUUCUCUUAACUGAAGAACUUCUUCUAACAUUUCCUUUAUGCAAGUCUGCCAAUAAUUAAUUCUUUCAAGUUUUUUUAUUUUGCCUGAAAAAAGUAUUUAUUUCUUCUUCAUUUUAAUAUAAUUAAUAGACUAUUUUAGCACAGUUUUAGAUUUUCUAAAAACUUGCAAAGAAACUGCAAAAAGUUUCUGUGAACCUCACCCCCAAUUUCUCCUAUGAUUAGUAUCUUACAUUACUAUAGUAUAAUUGUUACAAUUAAUGGAUUAAUAUUGAUAUAUAGUUACUAGCAAAAGUCCAUGGUUUAUUCCUUCUUUAUUUAUUUAUUUUUAGUUUUUAUGUAACAUCCUUCAACUUUUUGUUUUUCUUCAGGACACUAUUUUUCUUCAGUAUUGUAUUGGCAAUUCUAGAUCUUUUGCCUUUCCAUAUAAACUUUGAAAUACAUUUGUCAAUAUCUCCACUAUACCUGGCUGAGAUAUUGAUUGGGAUUGUGUUGAAUCUAUAGACAAAGUUGAAAGAAAGUGACAUCUUAGCAAUACUGAACAUUCUAAUCUAUGAAGAUGAAAUAUAUCUUCAUGUUCUUUUAUCUUUUUUGAUUUAUCAGGGUUUUGUAGUUUUCUCCAUAUGACACCCACACAUUUUCAUGAUGUUUACACCUAAGUAUUUAUUUUUCUUUUUUGGUAUUAUUGUAAAAGUUAUUUAAAAGGCUUACUUUUUUAUUUCAAAUUCUGAAUGUUCCUUACUGGUAUACAGGAAAGCAUUUGACUUUCGUGUAUUUACUUUGUGCCCUGUAACCUUGUUAAAUUUGAUCAUUACUUCUGAGUAUUUCUGUUGAUUCUUUGAGAAUUUUCUCAUAAUAUCAUUUUAAAUAAAAAGACAAUAUUAUUUCUUCCUUUCCAGUAUGUAUGUAUUUUAUUUUCUUGUCUUGUUGCAACAGAUAGAACUUCCAAUGUGAUAUUAAGUAGGAGUGGUAAGAUAGACAUCUUUGCCUUUUCCUGAUACUUGUCAAGAAAUAUCCAAUUUCUCACCACUAACUAUGAUGUUAAUUGUUCAUUUUUUUUUGUUUCUCACCACGAAGUAUGAUGAUGAUGCUAAAGUGUAGAUUUUCUGUUAGCUGUAGGUUCUUUACCAAGAUGAUGACAUUCCUCCCUCUUUUUUGUUUGUCCAGUAUUAUGAUAGCC